UUUGGGCGUUGGGUGGCCGCGAAUGCUUUGCAAGAGGCGUUUGAGGAAAGUCCGGGCUCCAUAGGGCAGGGUGCUGGAUAACGUCCAGUAGAGGUAACUCUCAGGAUAGUGCCACAGAAAUGAGGACCGCCUCGGGGCUGUAUGGCCCGAGGUAAGGGUGCAACGGCGAGGUAAGAGCUCACCAGUGGUGUGGUGACGCAUCAGCUAGGUAAACCCCACCUGGAGCAAGACCCACGGAGGGCCGCAUGAGCGGCCGGUUGCCCGCCGGAUCCCCUCCUAAGAAGGUCGCUUGAGGCGCAUGGCAACAUGCGUCGAGAUAAAUGGCCGCCCUCGGCUCGCCGAGACAGAACCCGGCUUAUAGGCGCCCAAGUUGC
This 374-nucleotide RNase P RNA is filed under the name bacterium. Its description in RNAcentral is "RNase P RNA component class A". It matches the Rfam family "Bacterial RNase P class A". From Rfam's summary of the family: Ribonuclease P (RNase P) is a ubiquitous endoribonuclease, found in archaea, bacteria and eukarya as well as chloroplasts and mitochondria. Its best characterised activity is the generation of mature 5'-ends of tRNAs by cleaving the 5'-leader elements of precursor-tRNAs. The record is from RNAcentral.